This 8552-nucleotide long non-coding RNA is filed under the name Homo sapiens (human). RNAcentral's name for it is "non-protein coding lnc-DHX15-1:2". The stretch from base 2864 to 2943 matches the Rfam family "mir-573 microRNA precursor family". Lineage: Eukaryota; Metazoa; Chordata; Mammalia; Primates; Hominidae. The record is from RNAcentral.
UUCUGUUACUACAAUUUCAGAUUACAUUAACCUUUCAAGCAACCACAGCAUACUUUUGUUUCAUAUUAAUCUUAGUAUAAAUUUAAGGCACGUAAUUAUUACUUGAGAAUGUUAAUCUCUGUGGCUCAGGGCUGAGAAGGGACCUUCACAGACCUUGGGUCGUGUUAAUCUUCGGAGACUUCACCCCACAUGUUCAAAUAUAUCCAUAGCUCACAUGUUCAAAUAUGUCCAUAGCUCAUUAAUGACAUUUAAAAAAAUUAAAGGCAGGAUAGGAAUAUCUUAAUUUUAAAUGUUUUCUAACAGUCUCAGAAUUCUUCUAGUAUGAAACCACAUUAUUUCAAACGCAGUUUUUAUCAAUGUUACAUUUAAAAAUGAAGUUGACAGAUUUUAGUAAAUGAUUGCAUGUAAACAUUAAUUUGAAUUUUGCAGUUUCUUUAAUAUUAGAGAACAUGAUGAGGUGGUUUUCUGGUCUUGUGCAUUUUUAGUGGUCCCUAAAAAAUGGGCUAUAAGGAUUUCUUAGAUGAUUAACAGCAUUUCAGAGCACGAGUCAUGGUUCAGAGACAGUUUUUAAAGUUCUGCUUUAUUGAGGUAUAAUUAACAUCAACUAUAUAGUUUGAUAAAGUUUGACAAAUGUAUACAGUUGUGUAAUUGUCACCACAAUCAAUACGCAACGUUUUCAUCACCCUAAAAAGUUCCCCAUGUCUCUCUGUAGCUAAUACCCUUCCUCCUAUUCCAAGUGUUUGGCUACUUGGAAUCAUACUGUGCGUAGUGGAAAAAAAUGGUGAAGAUUAAAAAGCACAGAACCUUUAAUAAGAGAAGGGGAGGGGCGAAGGAGCAGCCAGAAAGUAAAAUAAUUUAUUUAGAUAGUGGAGUUUCAUGCUUCAGAGAGGUGUGUAGUGGAAGGGAAUUGUGAAUCCUGAAAGCUAUGGGAAUUGGUAAUUUAGUCUUUAGCCAGCUUAUGUAAGUUUAAGGUAGAGGAUACAAGCAGGUAGUCAAAAGGGCCCAGAUGCAGCCUGCCCUGAUGUGAUCCUCAUGAAGUGUUUCAAAGAAAUAGAGCACCUUUCUGUAAAAAUAGAUCCACGUAAAGUUUUCAAAAUAUUCCUGAGUCUGGCAAGGGUGGGCCUACCUGAAGUUUCUCCUGACACACUGUUAAUUAGCUGCUUUGUAGGUAGGCAUGUAUUCUUCAGUUUGCCAGAACCCCUUGCAUGCCUUCAUUUAGUCUACCUGUAGGCAUUGUUGGGUGAGAAAGGGUUUUGAAGUGGGAAAGCUUGCAAAGACUGCUUUUAACGGAAAGUUUUCAUGGGCAGGAUUGAGACCAAGAGGAAAGAAACUUCAAGUUAAUGGACUACCUUGAAAUUUUAGGCAAAACCUGUACCUGUGUCAUGGGAGAGACUGGGAUUAUGGCCACACUUGAUCUGAAGUUGAGGUCAAACUUGGUGAUGUUGCCUUGAAAAUAGAGAUUUUCAUAGACCAGGACGAAGAUAGAAGGGAAAGUUACAAGGGACUUCAGCUUAAAUUUAGUCUCUCUUAUCUUGGCACAGAGGGAUGUAUCUGUUAAUCUGAGGUGGAUCAAGUUCAGGCUUGAGAGAGGGAGUAAUGCAUGAGACUUUGAAAGUAGUUUGAUUGUGAGUAAGCAAGAGAUGGUGAAAGAGAUGCCUUAGAUCAUGGGCAUACUUAGAUCUUACAAUUUUGAUGAUGAAUUCACGCUAGCCUGAGAACUGAAGUGGAAGGCUACCCCUGGUUGAUGAUGGGUAGCAGGGAUGUAGAAAAGUGCUAAAGUCUUUAAGAUCUUGCCCUUUAAAAGAAUCAUCAGGUGGGGCAGAUGAUUAAAGAUCAUUACUUAGGGUUUAAUGCGUUCAGUGUGUUUAGAUUUGCGUGGCAGUUAUUAAAAUAAGGCAUGCUAUCAGUUUGAGGGACUGAGUUACUUAAAACCAUGAAUAGAUAGAAAUUCAUUCUAAUGAUUACACAGGUGUGUGUUUUUUAUUUUAGAUUAUAUUAAAAAGUACAGUUGCUAAGAUGCUGGGAAAUAUUUCAACUGUGGCACUAGCACUGUUAGCUUUAGCAGAGAAGCUAGUUUUUUUUUUUUUUUUUUUUUUUUAAUAGGAGACAGGGUCUCACUCUGUCUCUCAGGCUAGAGUGCAGUGGUGCCAUCUCGGCUCACUGCAGCCUCUGCCUCACAGGUUCAAGCGAGUCUCAUGCCUCAGCCUACCGAGUAAUUGGGAUUACAGGCACCCGCCACCACGCCCAGCUAAUUUUUGUAUUUUUAGUAGAGAUGGGGUUUCACCAUGUUGGUCAGGUUGGUCUUGAACUCCUAACCUCAAGUGGUCUGCCCUCCUCAGCCACCUUAAGUGUUGGGAUUACAGGCGUGAGCCACCAUGCCCAGCUGGUAUUGAGUUCUUAAGAAGGGAAAUACAUUGAUUUUUAAGGAAGAUAGAUAAAACUUGUGCAGUAGAUUAUAAAAGAAAUGAUUAGAAUUUCAUCUCUGACUGAUUUGUGAUAACGAGUAUGUUAUUAUUUUAGAUUAUUUGCUUUUUAGUGUACUGUCUCAGUUCUGCUUACACAAAAACAUGCUGAAGACUUUUUUGUAAGAUAUUUACUUAAAAAAUUUUAAAGUUUUAUAUUUGGGUGUUUUGUUGAAUCACUGUUUCCCAAGAUUAUAUUAAUGAAAUACAGCUUACAACUCAUUUUCUUUUUUCUUAUUAUUUCCCUUUUUACACUUAAGGAGGGCUGAAUGGAUAACUUUUAAGGUAUUGUCUUAAGUGUUAAAUGUCUGAGUAUGCUUUCCUUGCCUCUCCAGAAAUAUUUUAAUAACCUUAGAGAAACAUGUAGGAUUUUCUACAAAAAGUGUCGGCUGCUUUAGCGGUUUCUCCCUGAAGUGAUGUGUAACUGAUCAGGAUCUACUCAUGUCGUCUUUGGUAAAGUUAUGUCGCUUGUCAGGGUGAGGAGAGUUUUUGAGAUGCAAAUUUUCCCGUUUUUGUUUUAUUACCAUGGAGAAAUGUAAUAGUUGGUGUCUUUUGGUAUAGCUAACUUUUAAACAGUACAGGUGGCUCUUGGACAGUCACUGUUUUAAACAAGCAGCAGUAAGGCAGACUGAAGACAGUAGGAAAAAUGAUCAACAUGGUGGAAGGAAAGAAAGCAGUCAGUAACAACUUAUAUAAUAAUUUGCAGGAACUCUUAGAACUGAACCUUACAGUUAAGUUGUGAUAUCUGGGGUAGAUUGUAUUAUUUCCUUAUUUCAGAAGAACUGAGGCCCCAGGUCACAUGGCUGUUUAUCUGCAGAGCUGGCAUUCCACUCUGCUUAGCUAAGUGCUCCCUCAACCUUGAUGCUAUUUUUCCUGAGCUGGGUGCCAGGGGAGCUUGGAUAUGUAAAGCUUGGUUGAUGUCCUUGAUAGGUGCAUGGUUCUAAGAUUGUGAUUUUCAUCCUAAGUUUAGGAAGUUACACACCUGCGUGGACAAGGUGGGUCUAAUUAUUUUUCAUUCUGGUUUAAUGUUGACAAGAAAACAGACAUGGAAGAGGACUUUCCUGCACUCCUGGUCUUCCUUUUCCUUAAGUAGUGCUACAAGGGUCUGACCGGAAGAUCUUUUUACUGGUGGCUUGCUGCUUAAUAUAAUACAGGUUUUGAGUACAAUCAUUUCUUCGUAUUGUUUUUAAAGUAGAGCAAUGAUAUGACUAGUCUGAAGUGAACAUAGUCUAGAAGUCACUUGCUUGGUUUGGGGAUUAGAAGUAUUUGCAAGGUGAACCACCCAUUCUCUUCUGCUUAUUUACACUACACUGCUUUUAUCCAUAACUUGGAGCCAUCAUUAAGAUAGACUGUUUUUUCUAUCUCUGUCCUUGGAACCUGUUCAGGUAUUUAAAGCUGUUUUCCUCUGCUAGGCUUUGAGUUUCUUAAGGGUUGGAGCCAUAUCAUUAUGUCCCUUGCACCUGGUUGUGGUAUACAAUAUCAUUCUUUCAGCAAAUACUUUUAUUUAUUUAUUUAUUUGAGGCAGAAUCUCGCUCUGUUGCUCAGGCUGGAGUGCAGUGGCACGAUCUGGCUCACUGCAACCUCUGCCUCCCAGGUACAAGUGUUUCUCCUGUCUCAGCCUCCCGAGUAGCUGGGAUUACAGGCGCCCACCAUCACAUCCGGCUAAUUUUUGUAUUUUUAGUGGAGAUGGGGUUUCGCCAUGUUGGCCAGGCUUGUCUUGAACUCCUGACCUCAAGUGAUCCACCCACCUCGGCCUCCCAAAGUGCUGGGAUUACAGGCGUGAGCCACCGCGCCCGGCCAAGCUUCUUUCUUUAUAUGGACUUUGAAACAUUUACUGUGACUCUUGGGAUUUCUAGUUGAAGUCACCUGCAAAGGGAUUCCCCCUGUAAAUGUCCAUAUUGCAUAUUGCUGUGAAUAUGACUGGAGGUUGUAACUUACCUGAAUGUUUCCCUUUCCUGAUUACAUGCCAGGUAAUACUGAAAGGGAAAUGUCCAGAAAGGUUGUAUUGGAUGCUUUCAGAAGAAUCACAACCUUUUCAUGAAUAAACCUCCUUUAUUUAUGAAUGGACAUUGUGCGGUCUGUGACAAUGUUUAUAAGUGCUUUUAGAAAUCAUUUUCAUUGUAAAAAGUAUAUUAGAUGUCUUUUGCCAAAUUUUAUCUAGUUAGUAAUUAUAAACAGUAUCAGUCUUAUUUUCCUAUUGUUUAUGAACAAUAUAAAGACCUCUUAAUAGUGAUCUAAAAGUUUUCUAUUGUCACUGGGUUACCUUCAGAAUUUCUAGGCCUGUUAGAUUUAUUUUUGUCGUUAGCAUUUAAAGUUUUGCUCUGUAUUAGAAAAUAGAAAACUUAGAAAAACAGGUAGUGGCAGUUCAUCACUUCCCCCACUUUUAUUUCCAAGUCAUUAUCUAGUUUCUCAAUGUGGCAUUGCAACUCUGAUUUUUUACUGUUCGUGCACUAAAGCAUUUGAGAUAAGCCCUUAGUGUUGAGGAAAUCCUAAAUCCUACUGCUGGGGGGUUAAAAGAAAUAUAGUGACAGGCUAUGAAAUAGUGUUGUCAUAACUUAUCAGUGGCUAGUAAAUAGGGUAGUUGCCUUCUGACACCAUUUUGCGGUGGCUCACGCCUGUAAUCCCAGCACUUUGGGAGGCCGAGGCAGGCGGAUCACGAGGUCAGGAGAUCGAGACCAUCCUGGCAAACACGGUGAAACCCCGUCUCUACUAAAAAUACAAAAAAAAAAAAAAAUUAGCCGGGCGCGGUGGCCGGCGCCUGUAGUCUCAGCUACUCGCGAGGCUGAGGCAGGAGAAUGGCGUGAACCCGGGAGGCGGAGCUUGCAGUGAGCCGAGAUCGUGCCACUGCACUCCAGCCUGGGCGACAGAGCGAGACUCCGUCUCAAAAAAAAAAAAAAAAAAAAAAAAAAAGUAUUUAUUCCCUAAGCAUAUUCAUUAUAUGCAUUUCUAGGUAUUUUGUUGCAGGGACGCUUUCAGAUUAUCUGUCUUCAGAAUUGCUAGAUACAGAAGUUGACCACUCCCUUUUAAUCUUUAAAUCAAGGACAGGAUUGAGGUCAAUAUCGCUGUGUGCUGUCUUUGUCAACAAGAAAUCGGCAUUUAUUUUGCACUGCAAAUGAGAAAAACAAAAGUGCCUGGUCCUAGGCCAACAGCUUUUUUAAAACCAUAAUUGUAGGGAUUUGAGCUACUGUGCUGGGCCGAGGGCAAAGGUGAACCCGAUGGCUCUGAGCGAAUGGCUCACCUGGGCUUCCCAGGAGGAGCAGAGUCAUUUGGGGGCAGCACUGAAACCUAAUUCACCAACUGAGGUCAGCAGAGCUGGGAAUGAGUUGGGCGAUUCUCUGGAUUCACUCCUUGCCUUUGGAGCAUGACUGUUGAAACAUUCCUGGGCUCCAGGGUUAAAAAAAAAAAAAGUCCCCACUCCUGGGUGUUCCCUCUCCAUUCCCCUGCCUGGCCCCAAACUCCCCAGGCUGAGACUUGAUGGGUUUUGGGGAUACUGCUGUGGAUGGAGAAAUCCUUGCUCUCUUGGCUCCAUGCAGAGGCCUUCCGGCAAUUGGUGACAGUUGCACCCACUGUGUGGCUAACACUUCAGCCUGGCUGCCUGUCCCCGGCAGCCGGCGGAGUCAGCGCGCCCACGUGACGGCCCCGGCUCUCCGUUCCGUUCCCUUUGCCAUUCCCUUCCCCCUCCUUUUCUUUUAUUUUCGAGAGAAUUUCUUCUUGGCUUAUUGGUUUAAUUUGAUUUUUAAAAUUUUGGGUUGCUUUUGUGUAUGUGUGCUUUUUUUUUCUUUCCUCAUUUUAUUUGCAUCCAGAGCAUGGCGGGCUGCGGGCUGUCGGAAGACACCCUCUUCUCUUCCUUCUUUUACAACUACGGCUCCUCCUGGGAAACCCCUUCCAACCAGAGAGAUGAAGAAUACAUGUGCAUAACGGGCCUUACUGAUCUCCAGUUUGCAUUUUCAGCAUUUGAGCAUGGGCACAUGUUUGAGAAACCUGCUCCUAACUGUUCCUAAGAAGAAAAAGAAUACAACAAAGGCGAUACUUUAAAUCUCAUCUUGGACUCGGGCAGAGCUGCUAUAGGAAGGCCUGGGCCAAAUUUGCAAGAGUGAGACUUGUUCAUGAUUUUACCCUGAUUGCUGCCAAAAUGCUUACAUAUCCUGCGUUUCCUAAAAAUGGCAAUGUUCUUCAGAUAUAAUUUGUUUACUCUACCUCAAUUAAAAUGAGGCAGGAGAAUGGCGUGAACCUGGGAGCGGAGGUUGCAGUGACCCGAGUUUGCGCCACUGCACUCUAGCCUGGGGGACAGAGCAAGACUCCAUCUUAAAACAAACAAACAAACAAACAAACAAACAAACAAAAAACAGUAUCUUUUGUUAUUCCUGAGAUAAUUCCAAGAGAAGAGGAAUGUUGACUAUAUCCUAUGGCAUCAUUAUUGUUUGUCUGAUUGGACCCAGGCUAGAAAUCUUAAAGAUAUUUGUGAAAAAUAAAGCUCAUAUUCAAGAUGAAACAUUAAACCCCACAGUGAAGGUCAUUCUCAUUCUCUCUGGCUUGCCCCUCUUUCUUUCUCACUUGACUUUCUCAUAAUUUUUUUCAACAACGUCUUUGGACCCCGGUUCAUUAAACUCUCCCUCCCCACAUCUGAUUUUUCCCCAAGAAAGUGCAUUCUGGAGAGGGCAGGGGGAGUGACUAUUCAUUUGUCUACACUUCCCAGGCUCAAAGGAGCUGUGGUCACUAUUGCUUCCAAAACAUUCCUUUGCCAUAAUCCUGCAUUAGAGCAAAGCACUGAAUUGGCUUCUCUUUUGGAAGAAUUCCUUUUGGAGAAAAAGUCUCCUUCUUGGACCUUAAGGGAUUUGGCUCUGAGGGUUGAGUCAUGUUCCCAUGAAUGCACAGUAAAAUCAUGGUAAAUCCAAGCCUAGAACCCCAGAGCCUAUUUGUAUAACCAUCAACUGGUCAUUUUAUCAGGAUUUAUCUUGGAUUUUUGAUGUGCAAAGAUCAGAGUGGUUAUAACAGAAGUCUCUACAGAGCUACCGCAGAAUCCCUAUGCCUACUGUUGAGACGCUUUCUAAUGCUGUCUUGGAAUUCUUCCCGUUUCUUCUGGAAAUCUUUUUUUCACGUGAAAGCAGUUGCUGGUAGUACCCAGAUGGUGGCCAUAUAGUCCCUAGGUAUGACAGUCUGCCCAAUACCAGUUAAACAUUAUAAAUAGUCAGUGGGUACUCCUUGAAUGACUUUUAACCUUGAACCACCAUAUGAAGUCAGUCUAUCUGAUUUGCGCUAAGUCUUUGGUGCUUCAUGAAAUCCCUCUGCUCUCCUCGGUUAGCUACCUUCCAAUCCCUGAUGGCAGCACAUCCAAAAUGAGCUCUCCCUCACCCUGUGCAGGUUGUGCAGAAAAUCUUCCCUCAUCUUUCACAGAGAGAGAAAAAAAUGGAGUCUUGCUCUGUCUCCCAGGCUGGAGUGCAGCGGUGUGAUCUCAGCUUACCACAACCUCCACCUCCCGGGUUCAAGUGAUUCUCCCACGUCAACCUCCCGAGUAGCUGGGAUUACCAGGCACCCGCCACCACACCUGGCUACUUUUUUGGUAUUUUUUUUUAGUAGAGAAAGGGUUUCACCAUGUUGGUCAGGCUGGUCUUGAACUCCUGACCUCAGGCGAUCCGCCUGCCUCAGCCUCCCAGAGUGCUGGGAUGACAGGCUUGAGCCCCCGCGCCCGGCCCCUACUUUCUGUCUCAGGGUCUGUGCCUUACUUCAGACUCAUACCAUGUCUCUUCUGGACUCUUGCCUUGUAGUGAAAUUCUCAGUAAUUUCACUGGGUUUUGUUUUGGGAAGAAGCUGGUAUAUCGCUGCUGUUUUUGUUCGUAUGCUGUCAAGGAGAUUGAAGUUUAUUUGAAAUGUUCCUUUUAUUUUUAAAUGGCACUUGGGACUUUUCAUCCUUAGAAGCCCUGUUUUUCUUCCCCUUUAAAUUAGGGACUAAGGUUAGAGGAGGAGUUGGAUUUAUUUUCUGACACUUUCUGAAUAAUUAGUUAUUAUGUCUCAGAAAGAAUCACAAUAUCAAUAGUAUAUGUUCUGGAAUUACGAAGUAUUAUAUUAGAGGGCUUUACCUCUCUACCUUCU